AAGCUCGACGGCGGGGUGAUCCCCCGCCUACGGCUUCCUAAACCGUAGGUCGGAAGUUCGAAUCUUCCCGGGAUCCCCA
This 79-nucleotide transfer RNA is filed under the name Bradyrhizobium ottawaense. Its description in RNAcentral is "tRNA-Arg". The record is from RNAcentral. RNAcentral also lists the same sequence under 1 other name. Lineage: Bacteria; Pseudomonadati; Pseudomonadota; Alphaproteobacteria; Hyphomicrobiales; Nitrobacteraceae.